CCUACGGGAGGCAGCAGUGAGGAAUAUUUGUCAAUGGGCGCGAGCCUGAACCAGCCAAGUAGCGUGAAGGAUGAAGGUUUUCGGAUUGUAAACUCCUUUUGUUAGAGAAGAUAAUGACGGUAUCUAACGAAUAAGCACCGGCUAACUCCGUGCCAGCAGCCGCGGUAAUACGGAGGGUGCAAGCGUUACGCGGAAUCACUGGGCGUAAAGAGCGCGUAGGCGGGAUAGCAAGUCAGAUUUGAAAUCCUAUGGCUAAACCAUAGAACUGCAUUUGAAACUGUUAUUCUAGAGUAUGGGAGAGGUAGGUGGAAUUCUUGGUGUAGGAGUAAAAUCCGUAGAGAUCAAGAGGAAUACUGAUUGCGAAGGCGACCUGCUAGAACAUAACUGACGCUGAUGCGCGAAAGCGUGGGGAGCAAACAGGAUUAGAUACCCUAGUAGUC
RNAcentral lists this ribosomal RNA (440 nucleotides) under uncultured bacterium. RNAcentral's name for it is "partial 16S ribosomal RNA". It matches the Rfam family "Bacterial small subunit ribosomal RNA", at positions 338 to 795 of the family's 1533-position model. The record is from RNAcentral.